CUGAAUCUGAUUUCAUUGUAUUUCUAGGGUGAUAAAAGAAAAUGUGGCUGAAGUUACCCGAAGUUCAGCUUGCAGUGUAAUUCAGAAGAGUUAAGACCAGAAGUACUGGAAUCAUACUUCCUUUCAGGUCAAAACAUUUUGUGGGAAAUAUCCUGUUCGUGACCUAGGAGAAACAAGACAGAAAACAAAUCUUUCUUCAUUUAUGAAUUUCUUACUCCAUACAAGCAGUUUAUGGAUGUCUGGGCAAUCAUAGCACUUGCCAUUUAAAAACAUGCUACAGGGGCACAUUUUCUGUGGUUAAAAAUGAUCUCCAGAAUAAGUGUAAACUGCAGUUUUCCUUUGCAUUGAGGGUUUUGGCUUUUUAUUUGUAAAUUAAAUCAAGAUGUUACCCACUCCUUGGUGUGGUGGUCUUGCUGGUUCGUGUUGGGAAGUAGUAUGGCAGCAAUGCACAAAUUCAGAAUAGCCAAGAAAUCCCUCCUUUUCAACGCUCUGUGCCUGGGAACCAUUAGAGGAGUUUUAAAAACCAUCCCUCAUAGCCCACAAUUUUGGGUCAACUCUCAAAAUUGGGAAUAAGAAAACUGGCACUGUUGGGAGAAAAAUCGUUCUUACUGAAACAUGAACUGGCUCAGGCAAGCAAAUAGCGGGAGUCGGCACAGGAAGGAGUGUGUGCUGCGGGGAUGCGUGGUGGCGUCACCUUCAAAACUAAAGUGGUGCCAGGCGGACAGAUGAGUCCUUGAUCUUGUUUCCUGAUCUUGUUUCCAUUUGACUGAAUUCUGAACCUUCAUUGUCUUCACAGUCUUGCCACUUGCCUAGUGAGGCUUUUCCGAACCUGGAAGGAGACGUCUAGAAAUCCCAACUUUGCUGUGUAAGGACCAUUAGCUGCAAGUCAGUGGAAGUCUAUAGAAAGCAGUGUGAAUUCCAUAGUGGUCUUGACUUCUUAGCAAGGAUUUGGGAUAAGUCUAAAACUUCAGACUUAAAGCUUUGAAGCAUGUUAACUGCAUGAAAUAUUAAACAUUUCG
RNAcentral lists this long non-coding RNA (1019 nucleotides) under Homo sapiens (human). Its description in RNAcentral is "non-protein coding lnc-PSPC1-1:5". Lineage: Eukaryota; Metazoa; Chordata; Mammalia; Primates; Hominidae. The record is from RNAcentral.